This 476-nucleotide ribosomal RNA is filed under the name soil bacterium 09G-02. RNAcentral's name for it is "bacterial SSU rRNA". It matches the Rfam family "Bacterial small subunit ribosomal RNA", at positions 27 to 484 of the family's 1533-position model. The record is from RNAcentral.
GGAUGAACGCUGGCGGCGUGCCUAAUACAUGCAAGUCGAGCGAAUGNAUUGAGAGCUUGCUCUCAAGAAGUUAGCGGCGGACGGGUGAGUAACACGUGGGUAACCUGCCCAUAAGACUGGGAUAACUCCGGGAAACCGGGGCUAAUACCGGAUAANAUUUUGAACUGCAUGGUUCGAAAUUGAAAGGCGGCUUCGGCUGUCACUUAUGGAUGGACCCGCGUCGCAUUAGCUAGUUGGUGAGGUAACGGCUCACCAAGGCAACGAUGCGUAGCCGACCUGAGAGGGUGAUCGGCCACACUGGGACUGAGACACGGCCCAGACUCCUACGGGAGGCAGCAGUAGGGAAUCUUCCGCAAUGGACGAAAGUCUGACGGAGCAACGCCGCGUGAGUGAUGAAGGCUUUCGGGUCGUAAAACUCUGUUGUUAGGGAAGAACAAGUGCUAGUUGAAUAAGCUGGCACCUGACGGUACCUAACC